UAAAACGUCAGCUGAGUCUCUCUGGUCCUCUUUCCUUUCUUACCACUCAUGUGCCCCAUUCCUCUGUUUUUGUCUUAGAUUGCAAGCUUUUUGGAGCAAAAAGAAAACACAGGAAUAAAAUUCUCUUCUUUGCCCUGCUUUUGGCUGAGGCCUCAAGAUACCACUGUAAUAAAAUCCAGUGGUUUGAUGCAAAGUGCCACUGAAGAAGAGCAGUUUCCGCUGGAUCUGCGUUGCAUCCCUUACCAAGGAGACAGCGUUAUUCCGCCUCUAAUGGCACGGUCUUGUGUCUCCCCUGCCCUGAGCGCAGCAGAGCAGCGCGCUGAAUGCGGACCUCCCGAGAGCAUCUCUGCAGCUCCCGAGCCUUGGGGCUCGCCACCUCGUGGCACGCAGGUUACCCCACGCCUGAGCGCCUCACCUGCCACAGAUGCAGCACCAAAGACAAGGUCUGUGAAGUGAAUGGCUGAGCUGGAAAAAUAGCAGCUGAAUUUGAGCUGCCAAAUUAGCAUAGUUGGGAAAGGCAUUAAGGCAUUUCUUCAUAGGUUGAAAUGCAUUGCCGUAGGUUGUGAUGCCUGGGACCUCCAGAUACUUUUGAUGGGAGAUCAUAACCUGUUCUCAUGAAAAAGAAAAUCCUCAUCACAAAAGGACAUGUCUUACCCAU
Molecule: long non-coding RNA, 658 nt
Filed under: Struthio camelus australis
Lineage: Eukaryota; Metazoa; Chordata; Aves; Struthioniformes; Struthionidae
Description: lncRNA (ENSSCUG00000006290.1)
Source: RNAcentral